This is a long non-coding RNA of Notolabrus celidotus (New Zealand spotty), 1132 nucleotides long. RefSeq lists it as uncharacterized. The record is from RefSeq and is a predicted model, not a curated record. NCBI's taxonomy places the organism in Eukaryota, Metazoa, Chordata, Actinopteri, Labriformes, Labridae. The transcript is spliced from 2 exons.
CUCGCACCUGUAUAUAUAGAUGCCAGUGGCAAAACCUGGCACAGUGCCAACAGUGGUCAGGAGGUAAACAACCUCCGGUCACACUUCCUCAUAGACUGGGAGAGUAAACCACAAACUCACUUAAAGAAGACGCUCUUCUCAGGGUCCCGAGAAGAAGAGGAAGCUCCUCUCAGAUUCAGACCUCAUCACCACUGACUACAUGGAGGACUCAUCCUGUGUGCUCUGUUUUCAUCCACUCUCAGUGCACUUCUUUGUCUUCAUAUUGGAGGAUAUCUCUUCAGUCAUUUUUAGAACAUGUUUUAAUAUAAAAUAUCAUUGUUAGUUAGAAAGUUACACUUGUCUGAUAAGUGCAUCAUGACUGAACUAUAAUAUAACUGAACUAACUAUAUUGAACUAUAAUAUAAUGUGUAGUGUGGACAACUUCCGGUUCCUGGGAUCUACUAUCUCCCAGGACCUGAAGUGGACCUCCCACAUAGACUCCAUUAGGAAGAAGGCACAGCAGAGGCUGUAAUUCCUCAGACAGCUCAGGAAGUUCAACCUGUCCCGAGAACUGCUCAUCAUCUUUUACACCUCCAUCAUCCAGUCUGUCCUGUCUCUCUCCAUCACUGUUUGGUUUCCCUCUGCCUCCAAACGUGACAGGUGCACACUGCAGCACACAGUAAAGUCUGCAGAGAAGAUCAUUGGAGUCAGCCUGCCCUCCAUCCAGGACUUGUACCGGUCAAGGACCAGGAAGCGGGCCAGUAACAUCUCUGCAGACCCCUCACACCCUGGACACUCACUUUUCAAACUCCUCCGCUCCGGUCGGCGUUACAGAGUUCUGUACGCAAAAACAUCCAGACACAAGAACAGUUUCUUCCCCCGGGCCGUCACACUGAUGAACACUUAACACUGUGUCAUAAACUAGCUACCUCAUGGACAGAGCCACCUUAUUUUUUGCACUAUUACACGUUAAGUUUGUCUAUUGUUUCCUUAUUGCACUCGUUCUUUUUGUACUUAUAUGUAUAUAUUUUAUUAGUACUUGAUUUUUAGUGUCUGUCUAUUUAUGUUUGUACAGAGAGUACGCAAAAAAUACCUGAGUCAAAUUUUUUGUAUUCUUGAGGGACAUUGUGAAUAAAGUUCUUUCUGAUUCUGA